GAUGAAGAACGUAGCGAAAUGCGAUAAGUAGUGUGAAUUGCAGAAUUCAGUGAAUCAUCGAAUCUUUGAACGCACAUUGCGCCCCCUGGUAUUCCAUGGGGCAUGCCUGUUCGAGCGUCAUUUGUACCUUCAAGCCUUGCUUGGUGUUGGGUGUUUGUCUCGCCUCUGCGCGCAGACUCGCCUCAAAACAAUUGGCAGCCGGCGUAUUGAUUUCGGAGCGCAGUACAUCUCGCGCUUUGCACUCAGAACGACGACGUCCAAAAGUACAUUUUUACACUCUUGACCUCGGAUCAGGUAGGGAUACCCGCUGAACUUAAGCAUAUCAAUAAGCGGAGGA
RNAcentral lists this unclassified non-coding RNA (337 nucleotides) under soil metagenome. Its description in RNAcentral is "partial contains 5.8S ribosomal RNA, internal transcribed spacer 2, and large subunit ribosomal RNA". The stretch from base 1 to 120 matches the Rfam family "5.8S ribosomal RNA", at positions 35 to 154 of the family's 154-position model. The record is from RNAcentral.